This 98-nucleotide ribosomal RNA is filed under the name Paenibacillus antri. RNAcentral's name for it is "Paenibacillus sp. SYSU_K30003 partial 23S ribosomal RNA". It matches the Rfam family "Bacterial large subunit ribosomal RNA", at positions 1 to 93 of the family's 2925-position model. The record is from RNAcentral. Lineage: Bacteria; Bacillati; Bacillota; Bacilli; Caryophanales; Paenibacillaceae.
UUCUGGAUAAGUUAUAAAGAGCGCACGGAGGAUGCCUAGGCGCUAGGAGCCGACGAAGGACGUGGCGAACGACGAUAUGGCCUCGGGGAGCCGUAAGC